UACGUAGGGACCAAGCGUUGUUCGGAUUUACUGGGCGUAAAGGGCGCGUAGGCGGCCUAACAAGUCACUUGUGAAAUCUCCGGGCUUAACUCGGAAUGGCCAAGUGAAACUGUCAGGCUAGAGUGCAGAAGGGGCAACUGGAAUUCUCGGUGUAGCGGUGAAAUGCGUAGAUAUCGAGAGGAACACCUGCGGCGAAGACGGGUUGCUGGGCUGAUACUGACGCUGAGGCGCGAAAGCCAGGGGAGCGAACGGG
RNAcentral lists this ribosomal RNA (253 nucleotides) under uncultured prokaryote. Its description in RNAcentral is "partial 16S ribosomal RNA". It matches the Rfam family "Bacterial small subunit ribosomal RNA", at positions 524 to 776 of the family's 1533-position model. The record is from RNAcentral.